CCGGCUCCUCCUUCUCCGCUCUCCUCUUCUCUCUCCCUAUUUUCUAGAUUACAACUAGAACUAACUAGAACUAGAACUGGAAGAACUAGAACUAGAACUAGAUGAACUAGAACUAGAUCUAGAUGAAAUAGAGGUAGAACUAGAAGAACUAGAGGGAUCCUCUCUACUUGGAUGAAGAAUUGAAACCCUAACUUUGAUUCUGUAGAAGAGGUAUGGUCUCCGGGGGCCAGGGGGGUCUGGUUUUAUAGUCCCUUCAAGUGAAUCUGGGCCAUCGGAUCAAACCGACAUUGAUCGUGUGGUUUUCCUUGAUCCUUUAGGUCGGUGGAGCGUUGUCCGCAAAGUUGGACGUGUUUGACUACAACUCCUGGGCGGGCGCCCAAGGGGGGUGGGCGGGCGCUCUGCCCCCGGGCCCGUUCGCCUUCCCGUUCGUUCCCGUGGCUUCUGGAGUCUUCUAGAUGACGUAAAAUUGCGCGGCACGUUAAUAUCUCUAUGUCAACCCGACGUGUGGGCCUUUCUUCCGUAUUUCCUGAUAACCCCCUGCAGAAAUAGACAAACACCAAAACUUGUGGAAUUAUGUCAGAUAAAACCCUAAGUCUAGGUGUUGGUUGCAUUUGGAUCCUUUUCCAUGAUUAGUUGAUGGUUAAUUGUGAGCAUUAAGGACCGUCAACAAGCUCCCCCAAGCUUAACCUUUGCUCGUCCCUGAGCAAAGAUGAACUCAAGAGUUUCUACAGUGGUUUCAUAACUUAAAGAUACACAUGCGUUUAAACAAGAUCUCAUCUCUGGUUAGAGUAAACUGUUAAGGCUUAAUGCUUAUUCAUUUACCUUUCACCAUGGGGCUUGUAACCGUCACUUUUGUCUUGAGCAGUUAAAAGAUAGAACGGUCUAGUCAAGCACCAUGUCUAAUGUUCUUAAUCAACUAUAGCUCUGGAGUUUUUGUAGAUUUUCAAAUAAAACUCUGAGAUUCCUUGUAUGACUCUCUCUAGUCUCUCUUUUGUGGUAUUUCUGGAUCCUUACCAAGGCAGUAUUGGUAUAUGCCUUCUCUCAAAGUAUGUGGUAUUUUUGGUAUAAGGCAUAGUGACAUUGCCUUCUCUCUCACCCUACUAAUAAGGCUUUUGAUAUCUGGAGCUCAUAGGUGGGAGACAGCUAAUACAUACUUACAAGACAUUUAUUGUAUAGUCAAACCAUGGAUCCAAAGAAACAAAUCAAUAAAUCAAAUCAAGAUGUGCAUGUGUGGCGAAUGAAUGGUGUAUGGUGAUGAUGGUGAUAACAAUGGUGAAAGUCUAAUUCUACUUAUGCUCUUUUGAGGGGAUACAUACCUUUCUUGCUCUUUUGAAACUUUUUGAGGAGAAUGAGAUGCUCUAUAUUUUCUUUUUCUUUUCUCUCAGGUGGGUAUCUUGUACCCCUAAUUCUACUGUCGGACACUUGUCCAUUUUUACCUCUUGUCUCACUUUUUUUUCUUUUCUUUCGAGGUUCCGGGCACUUGCCCCUUUUUAUUUCCUCGUAUCUUUUUUUUCUUCUUCUUUUUUUUUUCUCUUUUUUUUUCUCUUUUUUUUCGAGCACUCAUCUCCUGAAAUAAUAUAGCAAGUGGUAGUAACCAAGAUAACUUGAGCAUAUAUUUCACAAGGGAAAAACAGAAAUGUUUUUGGCUAUUCUCUCCCUGAUUAGGAGUAGAAUAUUUUUUUGGGUGGUUCUGGGGAUGGAAAUGGGUGGAUAUAUGUGGAUGGUACUUCUGGAGUAGAAGUAGCAUGUGUGAGUGAACGUGCAAGUGAAUCUUGAUUUUAACCAUAUGACAAGCUCCUAAGGGUCUACACAGCUUGACCACACUCAAUGCUCAUAAGCAGCAAAAAGUAAAUAUGUGGCUCAAAGUCUAGUAAGCAUGUAUAUAUGGCUGUGGUAGGAAUUUAAACUCUCAUCAUACAGGAACUCAUCAUGCAACAUUUUAAAGAUUUUCAAAAAUAAAAUUCUCCAGAAUUCUAGCAUUUCUAGGAACAGAUAAACAGCAGCUCAACCUUCCCAUAUCGUAUCCGUUAACGACUUAGACUUUAGAUCAAGUACUCUCCCCACAAGUUCAGGUUUAGAGCAAAUCUUAAUUAAUACCAGUCAUACCUAAACUUGAGAAAGAUUUCAAUUUUAAGAACUAGUCAUGGUAGAGCAACUAUUCAUUAUUUCCAUGUGAGAUCUUAUCAUGAGGGUUCAUAGCAAACUUUAUUUAUUUAUUUAUUUAGCAAACUAAGCAAAGAUAUAUAUAAGCACAAAAUCUUUAUUUGGGUUUCUAUGAUUAUGCAUCUUUUUAUUAUUAGAGUAAAGUAUAAACGUGAGUAGAAUACUUAGCUGGAUAAAUGGGGGUGCUCUCCCCCAAGCUGGAUUUUGACGCAAUUUCUUCUGAUGUAGCUAGCAGGUAGCAGAGAUGUAUUUGAAUGUCGGCAGCACCCUGACAGCGAGUAGGAUGUCCUCCGUCUGCUAAUCUUCUUUGAUCCUUGAAUUCUGUGGAGCUCAAAUAGACAACAAAGCUUUGUGGAACUGGUUAAGUCUUAGCAUAAAUAUCUAGCCUUUAUCAUGUUGAGCCUCCUCAAUAAAUGUUACUCUCUUUAGUAGGAUCAUAAAUUUAUUUUUAUAAUUUUAUUUUUAUAGGAUAGGAAUAUAUUUAUUUUAUUUUUAUGCCACCACAGUGAAUGUACUUAUGGGUUUUAUGCCAUGAGCAUACUCACAUGGGGCUUACUAUUUUUAACAUUUUUAUUUUCUUUUCAAGAUGAUAUGAACCUGAUUAACUAAAAUAAUUGAAAGGAAAAAGAUAACUACCAAGUUUACCUCUUGGCAAGGCGUUCGGUGUUUUUAAGUCUUCCGAACGGGACUCUCCGUUUCCUGAGUCAUUCUGGGAUUCGCUGGAUGGCGUAGUCGGUUGUUCCGGCGGCGUCUGCUCUUCGUGUAUAACUAUCUUCUUUAUCCACACCUAAAUUGGUGCUACGGUCUCCUCAGGACAGUUCUGUUCAAACUGUAUGUCUUCAGACAUUACCACUUCUCCUUCGUAGUCUGCCCAUCCGUCCUUGAUGACUUUGCCUUCUCUGGUUGCGGUUGCGUCGUCUCCUUCUUGUCCUGACCUACUUAGAGUCUUCAACUAUAGGGUCAGUAAAAUAGCAGCGUACCUUCUCAGAGGGGAAGUUCAUGUGGACUUCUCUGGUUCCAAUGUAGAUGAUUGCUUUAACGGUGCUGAGGAACGGACUUCUAAGGAUGACGGGUGGAUUGUACUCAUCUUCUCCCAUGACAAUAACCUUCAAAUCAUCUGGAGCUGAAUGUAUGUUGGUUGUAGGGGCAUGGUUCCAUAUAGGAGCUGAUAAGUGACUGCGGCCAUUAUGUUGACGUCAAAUCCGGUGUCGUAGAGUGUCUUCUAAAAAGAAUAUCCGUUGAUUGUGCACUUGAUGCUUGGAACACCAGGGUCGUCCUUCUUUAUCAAGAAAGGCGACUUGAGUUGACGAUCUUGACCUCCUUGAACUGCAGUGAGCAUCUUAGCCGACUUGGUCCACAUUUGCUUGCUUCAUGUCGGGAUUGCUCUGAGAUUUGUGUAAUUUUGUUCUUGAAGGAAAACGUCUCCUUCCUCCCCUUGAUGUAGAAACUGAUCUUGGCAGCACUAGCGUAGAUGACAGCUCCUGAGAUGUUCAGGAAUGGCCUCCCCUGGGCAUAAUGUUGACGCUGGAGCCAAAGUCGCAGAGUGCUUCUGGGAAAUUCACCAUGACAAUGGAGAUCGGGAUGAAGGUGCAUCCUGGAUCGCCUCUCUUGACCGGCAGAAGGUCAGUAAUUACUUCCACGGGUUACUCCAGUAGUUAUGUCCUCAAGCAUCUCAGGGCAGUGAUUGCCUGAGUGUCCAGUAUCUCCAGUGUGUUUGUGCUCGUAGAUCUAGGUUCAUCACUUGGUGGAGUCUGGGAGUUGUAAAAGUCCUUCAUAUUUUGCUUGAAGUGUACCUGCUCAUAGAGACAAGGCAGAGAUCAAGUGCAUGGGCCCUGCUGGUGGAAAACAACAACAGAACCAAAAGUGUAUUUGUUCUCUCUAACCUUAAGCAUAGUGAGCAAGACAAAGUUGAUGGAUAAUAAGAUCAUGAGUGUAGCAUUUAAAACAUUUGUCAGAUCAGAUCACUCAACCUAAUGGAAAGAUAAUCUAUCUAUACUUAUGUGUUUUCUCUUUUUUUUAUAUAUAUAUCUUCCAAAGACUGAGUGUGCAACACUUUAGCUCAUAUGAUUAGGAGUAUGGGAUCACAAAGGUGGAAGGACUAAAUAUAUUGAAUCGAUUGGGUUGGUUAAUCUAGAGUUGUAAAUCUUACAUGUUUGUCUCUUUUACUCAUGUGAAUGCUAAAAAUAAGGAGAAGCUUAUAGAAGUGAUAGUCAAGUACCUUAAGAUGUUACCUUACUUGAAGAGUGAUGGUACAGUAUCACUUUGUGGAAGCUUUCCUUUCUUAGCGAUUGUGCAUCGUGUUUGUGGCACCCUCCAUGGAUCAUCUCUUGUGAGCUAUGCCUUCCUUGUGUAAAUUGUUAAACUUCAUGUGUGUCUCUCUUUAUCUCCAAUGUGAGUAUCUCAGGACUUCCCAGGUCGAUAUUGAAAGUUUUCCUGCAGGGGUUAGUCCAACAAAAUAUCCAAUAUCUACUAUAGCAUACUAUCGGCUCAAAAAUCAACCUAGACACCAUGUCUAAUUUGAUUUAGGAGGGCAUUUUAACCUAAGCAUCAUGCUUAAUUUAAAAUCCUUUGGAAGUAAGAGCAUCAUUCCUAAACUAAGCACCAUGCUUAAUUAAGAGAUAAAUGAAACUACUCCAAACCUAGACAUAUACUAAUGCAAAUAAAGGUAGCAUGAGAGCAUUUAUAGAGAUCUACUCAAAUGGAGAUGAAGUAGUGUGAUUAGUAUUUAACAAUGGAUUGUGAAGAUGUUGCAUAUGAGCAUGGAGUAAAUGAAGUGGCUAUGAAAUAAAUUCCAUGCUCAUUAAUGCUUAGAGUGAAAUCCAUGUGGUAUGGUGAAAAUGAUAAGGUGAGUGUGAUAAAAAAGGAAAAGAAAAGGGAUACACGGACGACUUGGUUCGAAACUAGCACAGCUACCGUUCCCAGGCAACGGCGCCAGAAAGCUUGUUGGGUAUUUUAAAAGCAAACAGAAAAAUCCGCAAGCGCACAGAUACUGAUGUAGCUUUCACCCGGGAGUAUUCCAGAGUAUCGAUUUUCCACAGAGAACGUGAGUGUACUAAUUAAGAUCCAAGAUCGCCCAAGGAUAACUAUAUAAUUAUUUUUGGUGGGAAGAGAGGAAGUUUCCUGAGAGUUCUCUAGUUGAUCUAAGAAUCAAGAAUUACUUCAAGAUUAUCUAUAUCGGGACAUCAGAGCACUAACCACAGAAAGAGAUGAGAAAGGGGCUAGGAAGGUUUGACUACGGUCCUACAAACACCGAUCCGAACGAGGUGGAAUACGUCGACCGUUAGGGCUGUCACUACCCUAAGGCUACCACAACAAUCCGCAGGAUUGGGUGCAAUUCCAGGUAAUCGCAAGACUAAACACCACGUCUAAUCUAUUAAUUACUACUCUAGCGUUAUAAAGACUAGAGCACUUGAUGCAAGCGGGAAUCCAAUAAAUAACUUGAAUGUAAAUAAAAGUAAUUAAAGAACUCAGGAAUUAUGAAUUGAAGAACCUGGAGAACGAUGAAGAACGAACCAGUUGCUGCAAAAGUACAAUGUUGAGGAAGAUCCGAUAGAUCCGGCUCCUCCUUCUCCGCUCUCCUCUUCUCUCUCCCUAUUUUCUAGAUUACAACUAGAACUAACUAGAACUAGAACUAGAAGAACUAGAACUAGAACUAGAUGAACUAGAACUAGAUCUAGAUGAACUAGAGGUAGAACUAGAAGAACUAGAGGGAUCCUCUCUACUUGGAUAAAGAAUUGAAACCCUAACUUUGAUUCUGUAGAAGAGGUAUGGUCUCCGGGGGCCAGGGGGGUCUGGUUUUAUAGUCCCUUCAAGUGAAUCUGGGCCAUCAGAUCAAACCGACAUUGAUCGUGU
RNAcentral lists this long non-coding RNA (6015 nucleotides) under Sorghum bicolor (sorghum). RNAcentral describes it as "long non-coding RNA (SBIC_LNC012678)". Lineage: Eukaryota; Viridiplantae; Streptophyta; Magnoliopsida; Poales; Poaceae. The record is from RNAcentral.